CCUUUUAUUGAAGCUUCGGCAGAUUUAGCUGGUUUCUAGUGUCGGACGGGUGAGUAACGCGUGGGUAACCUGCCUUAUACAGGGGGAUAACAGUCAGAAAUGGCUGCUAAUACCGCAUAAGCGCACAGAGCUGCAUGGCUCAGUGUGAAAAACUCCGGUGGUAUAAGAUGGACCCGCGUUGGAUUAGCUUGUUGGUGAGGUAACGGCCCACCAAGGCGACGAUCCAUAGCCGGCCUGAGAGGGUGAACGGCCACAUUGGGACUGAGACACGGCCCAGACUCCUACGGGAGGCAGCAGUGGGGAAUAUUGCACAAUGGGGGAAACCCUGAUGCAGCGACGCCGCGUGAAGGAAGAAGUAUCUCGGUAUGUAAACUUCUAUCAGCAGGGAAGAUAAUGACGGUACCUGACUAAGAAGCCCCGGCUAACUACGUGCCAGCAGCCGCGGUAAUACGUAGGGGGCAAGCGCUAUCCGGAUUUACUGGGUGUAAAGGGAGCGUAGACGGUGUGGCAAGUCUGAUGUGAAAGGCAUGGGCUCAACCCGUGGACUGCAUUGGAAACUGUCAUACUUGAGUGCCGGAGGGGUAAGCGGAAUUCCUAGUGUAGCGGUGAAAUGCGUAGAUAUUAGGAGGAACACCAGUGGCGAAGGCGGCUUACUGGACGGUAACUGACGUUGAGGCUCGAAAGCGUGNGGAGCAAACAGGAUUAGAUACCCUGGUAGUCCACGCCGU
This 728-nucleotide ribosomal RNA is filed under the name uncultured bacterium. RNAcentral describes it as "bacterial SSU rRNA". It matches the Rfam family "Bacterial small subunit ribosomal RNA", at positions 63 to 803 of the family's 1533-position model. The record is from RNAcentral.